Molecule: ribosomal RNA, 465 nt
Filed under: uncultured bacterium
Lineage: Bacteria
Description: partial 16S ribosomal RNA
Rfam family: Bacterial small subunit ribosomal RNA
Source: RNAcentral
GACGAACGCUGGCGGCGUGCCUAACACAUGCAAGUCGAACGGAGUCGGCCCCGCAAGGGACUGACUUAGUGGCGAACGGGUGAGUAACGCGUGAGCAACCUGCCUUUCAGUGGGGGACAACAGUUGGAAACGACUGCUAAUACCGCAUAAUGCAUUUUGACCGCAUGAUCGAGCUGCCAAAGAUUUAUUGCUGAAAGAUGGGCUCGCGUCUGAUUAGAUAGUUGGUGAGGUAACGGCCCACCAAGUCGACGAUCAGUAGCCGGACUGAGAGGUUGAACGGCCACAUUGGGACUGGGAUGCGGCCGAGGCUCCUACGGGAGGCAGCAGUGGAGAAUAUUGGGCAAUGGGGGAAACCCUGACCCAGCAACGCCGCGUGAAGGAAGAAGGCUUUCGGGUUGUAAACUUCUUUUACCAGGGACGAAGAAAGUGACGGUACCUAGAGAAAAAGCCACGGCUAACUACGUG